Molecule: long non-coding RNA, 665 nt
Organism: Clupea harengus (Atlantic herring)
Lineage: Eukaryota; Metazoa; Chordata; Actinopteri; Clupeiformes; Clupeidae
Source: Ensembl
UUUCCUGCCUUUUUUGCUUAACCGGUCAAAGUUACCAACAUGCUCUUACUAUUUUUUUCUAUUUUGGCCUGUAACACUUAAAUCAGUUAAAAAAAAAGUAUUAAUGCAUGUAUAUUGAUAAACAAAAUCAGUUAAAAAAAAAAAAAAAAAAAGUAUUUAUGCAUAUAUUUUGGUGAACAAAAUCAGUAAAAAAAAAAAAGUACUAUUCUUUUCUAUUUUGGCCUGUAACACUUCAAACACUUAAUGGCUCAUCUACAGUCUUAGUCAGCACCUAACAAGGCUAGCCAAUGACUUUCCUGCCUUUUUUGCUUAACCGGUCAAAGUUACCAAUAUGCUCUUACUAUUUUUUCUAUUUUGGCCUGUAACACUUCAAACACUUAAUGGCUCAUCUACAGUCGUAGUCAGCACCUAACAAGGCUAGCCAAUGACUUUCCUGUCUUUUUGCUUAACCGGUCAAAGUUACCAAUAUGCUCUUACUAUUUUUUUCUAUUUUGGCCUGUAACACUUCAAACACUUAAUGGCUCAUCUACAGUCGUAGUCAGCACCUAACAAGGCUAGCCAAUGACUUUCCUGUCUUUUUGCUUAACCGGUCAAAGUUACCAAUAUGCUCUUACUAUUUUUUUCUAUUUUGGCCUGUAACACUUCAAACACUAAAUGGCUCAUCU